RNAcentral lists this ribosomal RNA (465 nucleotides) under Vreelandella stevensii. RNAcentral describes it as "partial 16S ribosomal RNA". It matches the Rfam family "Bacterial small subunit ribosomal RNA", at positions 338 to 795 of the family's 1533-position model. Lineage: Bacteria; Pseudomonadati; Pseudomonadota; Gammaproteobacteria; Oceanospirillales; Halomonadaceae. The record is from RNAcentral.
CCUACGGGAGGCUGCAGUGGGGAAUAUUGGACAAUGGGGGGAACCCCGAUCCAGCCAUGCCGCGUGUGUGAAGAAGGCCCUCGGGUUGUAAAGCACUUUCAGUGAGGAAGAACGCCUGGUGGUUAAUACCCAUCAGGAAAGACAUCACUCACAGAAGAAGCACCGGCUAACUCCGUGCCAGCAGCCGCGGUAAUACGGAGGGUGCGAGCGUUAAUCGGAAUUACUGGGCGUAAAGCGCGCGUAGGUGGCUUGAUAAGCCGGUUGUGAAAGCCCCGGGCUCAACCUGGGAACGGCAUCCGGAACUGUCAAGCUAGAGUGCAGGAGAGGAAGGUAGAAUUCCCGGUGUAGCGGUGAAAUGCGUAGAGAUCGGGAGGAAUACCAGUGGCGAAGGCGGCCUUCUGGACUGACACUGACACUGAGGUGCGAAAGCGUGGGUAGCAAACAGGAUUAGAUACCCUUGUAGUC